RNAcentral lists this ribosomal RNA (413 nucleotides) under uncultured bacterium. Its description in RNAcentral is "bacterial SSU rRNA". It matches the Rfam family "Bacterial small subunit ribosomal RNA", at positions 505 to 918 of the family's 1533-position model. The record is from RNAcentral.
GUGUCAGCAGCCGCGGUAAUACGGAGGGGGUUAGCGUUGUUCGGAAUUACUGGGCGUAAAGCGCGCGUAGGCGGACUAUUAAGUCAGGGGUGAAAUCCCGGGGCUCAACCCCGGAACUGCCUUUGAUACUGGUAGUCUAGAGUUCGAGAGAGGUGAGUGGAAUUCCGAGUGUAGAGGUGAAAUUCGUAGAUAUUCGGAGGAACACCAGUGGCGAAGGCGGCUCACUGGCUCGAUACUGACGCUGAGGUGCGAAAGUGUGGGGAGCAAACAGGAUUAGAUACCCUGGUAGUCCACACCGUAAACGAUGAAUGCCAGUCGUCGGGUAGCAUGCUAUUCGGUGACACACCUAACGGAUUAAGCAUUCCGCCUGGGGAGUACGGUCGCAAGAUUAAAACUUAAAGGAAUUGACGGGG